AGGACGAACGCUGGCGGCGUGCUUAACACAUGCAAGUCGAGCGGUAAGGCCUUUCGGGGUACACGAGCGGCGAACGGGUGAGUAACACGUGGGUGAUCUGCCCUGCACUUCGGGAUAAGCCUGGGAAACUGGGUCUAAUACCGGAUAUGACCUCCUAUCGCAUGGUGGGUGGUGGAAAGAUUUAUCGGUGCAGGAUGGGCCCGCGGCCUAUCAGCUUGUUGGUGGGGUAAUGGCCUACCAAGGCGACGACGGGUAGCCGACCUGAGAGGGUGACCGGCCACACUGGGACUGAGACACGGCCCAGACUCCUACGGGAGGCAGCAGUGGGGAAUAUGCACAAUGGGCGAAAGCCUGAUGCAGCGACGCCGCGUGAGGGAUGACGGCCUUCGGGUGUAAACCUCUUUCAGCAGGACGAAGCGCAAGUGACGGUACCUGCAGAAGAAGCAACCGGCUAACUACGUGCCAGCAAGCCGC
RNAcentral lists this ribosomal RNA (474 nucleotides) under uncultured soil bacterium. RNAcentral's name for it is "bacterial SSU rRNA". It matches the Rfam family "Bacterial small subunit ribosomal RNA", at positions 26 to 518 of the family's 1533-position model. The record is from RNAcentral.